AAAGCGACCACCAGUAUGUUAUCCGACGAUAACACUCCGAAAUCAAUCCACAUUCCGCUCCUCGAUGGUGAACAGCAUGAUGAUUCAUUCGUCGAGUUCUCUGGAACUCACCAGGACGUGCCACGACCAGAUAGCCUUCGCGGUUUCCUCUUGCGACCCACACGCACUGUCCACCACUACUGGAGACAGUUUGAUGAUGCCUUCAUGCGUCCUGUGUUUGGUGGUCGCGGUUUCGUUCCCUUUGUCCCUGGUUCUCCCACCGAGAGAAGCUCCCCUGAUCUCAGUAAAACCUUGCGAGAAAGCUUAUAGAAACUUCUCCGAAAACCAAUAAACUUCUUCUUCUUCUUCUUC
Molecule: long non-coding RNA, 351 nt
Filed under: Eutrema salsugineum
Lineage: Eukaryota; Viridiplantae; Streptophyta; Magnoliopsida; Brassicales; Brassicaceae
Description: long non-coding RNA (ESAL_LNC001686)
Source: RNAcentral